Molecule: ribosomal RNA, 253 nt
Filed under: uncultured bacterium
Lineage: Bacteria
Description: partial 16S ribosomal RNA
Rfam family: Bacterial small subunit ribosomal RNA
Source: RNAcentral
UACAGGGGGUGCAAACGUUGCUCGGAAUCAUUGGGCGUAAAGCGCACGUAGGCGGUCUGUUAUGUCGGAUGUGAAAGCCCUUGGCUCAACUGAGGAAGUGCAUCCGAAACUGGCAGGCUAGAGUACUAAAGAGGAUCGCGGAAUUCCCGGUGUAGAGGUGAAAUUCGUAGAUAUCGGGAGGAACACCGGUGGCGAAGGCGGCGAUCUGGGUAGAUACUGACGCUGAGGAGCGAAAGCGUGGGGAGCGAACAGG